This 2165-nucleotide long non-coding RNA is filed under the name Salmo trutta (river trout). Its description in RNAcentral is "lncRNA (ENSSTUG00000046729.1)". The record is from RNAcentral. Lineage: Eukaryota; Metazoa; Chordata; Actinopteri; Salmoniformes; Salmonidae.
GGGGCUCAGUUGUGCUGCCAGCAGUAAUUCCCACUAUGAGCUGGCUAAUCCCACACAUGAGCCGGGAAUUAAAUGGCAUUUGAUUCUAAUAUGUUCAGCUCAGAACCAAGUCAUAGAAUAAGAGGGAAAAUACAUACUACAUCGCCAGAUAGAAUAGACAUAAAUACCACUGUAGAAAUGUAAGAGGGCAAUCGGGAGAAACGGUGCAUCAAAAGACGUCGGCCAGCCGCUAAGACAAUCAAUUGCUGUUUUACUAUCAGGAGGAGUAAAACCACGACUGGCAAGCUAGCUAGACGAGAGGCACAUGUUUCCCAUAGGUAAUGCUGCCCAAUAUUUGUCUUACCUUUAUUUUCAUUCCAGUCAAAUGUAGCCUAUCAGUUAUCUCAGACAGAACAGCUGGUUGGCCUUGUGAGUGGAGGGCUGAAGUGUAUAGGGAGGAAUGGAGUGGGCCUUCGGACCAGAUGACGAGAGAGGACAUGUGCUUACAUGAACUAGACACCAGCUGCUGCUGGACCCCUAAGAGAGACAUGACAACCAGAUCCUGGAUGACACGCCAUUCACACAUCUGACUCGGGCUGAUUGAGUCAAUUCCCAGUUCCCUCUCACAAAGGGAGAUGGGUGGAAUGAGGGACCCAUCGUGGCCUCACUGGAGUUCUCACAGACGGUGUCCCAAAUGGCACCCUAUUCCCUUUGUAGUGCACUGCUUUUGACCAGGGCCCUGUCGUGCACUAAGCAGUGCACUAAAUAGAAAAUAGGGUGUCAUUUGGGACGCUGGCACGGUCCAAGAGCAGGCAUCCAUGAUUGGGCGAGCACCAGCUCUGUACCGUUGAUCUGUAAGACGUAUUUUCCUACUUGGGUAAAGUCUAAAGGCUUUUUCACUAGAUGUGGUGAUCUGGCCUCUCCCUGGGCGAAUGGCGUUUCCAGAUGUUUCAAGUAAGCUCUAAUAUAUGGGUAUUAUGGGUCCAGUGCAAUGAACUCAGCAGUGUACCUUGUGGAGGACCCAUAAUAAUACUUGAGUGUGUGUAACCCUACCUUCCAGCAGACGUAAAACCUGUGAUAUUGCUAAAACUCACCUCCAAUACAACCCUGGGUUUUUACUGUGCACUGUGAGAGGGGCAUGUACAGUACAUAACUCUACUUGCUAAUAGAACUUGAAGUCUUAUGGUUGUUAUCCCCUGCAAGCCAGUCCAUAUACAUUUUGUGUGUCUUUUUAAAUGCAUGUGAGUUACUUAGAGAUCCUUUCAUCGACAAUCACAGACCAAAUCUGGGCCCAUUGUGGCGCAGCGGUCUAAGGCACUGCAGCUCAGUGCAAGAGGUGUCACUACAGUACCUGGUUCGAAUCCAGGCUGCAUCACAUCCGGCCGUGAUUGGGAGUCCCAUAGGGCGGCGCACAAUUGGCCCAGCGUCGUCCGAGUUUGGCCGGGGUAGGCCGUCAUUGUAAAUAAGAAUGUGUUCUUAACUGGCUUGCCUAGUUAAAUAAAGGUUAAACAAAUAUAUAUAUAUUUAAAAAUCAACACUGAAUCAGAACAAAACCAAAGGAGGUAUUCAGCCAUGCAACCCCAAAGAGUCUUUGUCUGUUUCCACUCAAAGAUAGGUUGAUAUGUUUAAUGUGGUGUUGAGUAGAGCCAGGAGAAUUCAGUCCACACUACAGAACCUCAGAGGAACAUGCAUAUCAAAAGUAUGUGGACACACCUUCAAAUUUGUGGAUUUGGCUAUUUCAGCCACACUUGUUGAUGACAGGUGUAUACAAUUGAGCACACAGCCAUGCAAUCUCCAUAGACAAACAUUGGCAGUAGAAUGGAGCUCAGUGACUUUCAACGUGGCACCGUCAUAAGAUACCACCUUUCCAACAAGUCAGUUCACCAAAUUUCUGCCCUGCUAGAGCUGCCCCGGUCAACUGUAAGUGCUGUUAUUGUGAAUUGGAAACGUCUAGGAGCAACAACGGUUCAGCUGCGAAGUGGUAGGCCACACAAGCUAACAGAAUAGGACCGCAGAAUGGGAAGCGUGUAGUGUGUAAAUAUCAUCUCUCUUCGGUUGCAAAACUCACUACCGAGUUCCAAAAUGCCUCUGGAAGCAAUGUCAGCACAAGAACUGUUCCUCAGGAGCUCCAUGGCCGAGCAGCCGCACACAAGCCUAAGAUCGCCAUGCGUAAUGCCAAGCGUUGG